This is a long non-coding RNA of Malaclemys terrapin pileata, 4321 nucleotides long. RefSeq lists it as uncharacterized. The record is from RefSeq and is a predicted model, not a curated record. Lineage: Eukaryota; Metazoa; Chordata; Testudines; Emydidae. The transcript has 2 exons.
AUGAGCUUGAACCCAAUUGCAAUUGAAAUAAACGGAUCGCCCCUCCCGGGGCUCCUUGCUUGAUUAGCUGUGUCUGUUUCUCCUUAUUCCUCAGCUGGAACGGACAGAAAUUUCUAUAACAGUUUUGGCAACCACAAAGGGACUUCUCCAGCUCGGAACCGCUCCAGGGCCCCUUCCUCGAGAAGGACCAGCGCGCGCUGAGGUGAGUUUACCUUGGGUUGUAUUGUCUUGGGAGUUGGCCCCCAGCAGAGACGAUAAGGAGGAUUCUGAGAGACGGACCACAAGCAACGAGACAGAUCGCGUUGGAAAAGGCCUCAUCAGGAGACAGAGUGUUUAAUGGGUGAGAAGCCUGACGAAAGGCUGAGAGGGUGAAGGAAGAAAAAAGGGAAUAUAAGAAUGCUGGUGGCUGUAUUGAAGGAAGCAGAGCCUGGUGUCGGCAGAGGCCGAGGAAGAGGACAAGGGUUCAUUGGUAGAGUGGGACCCAAUAAAGGGGGGUCCAGAGGACUUUAAAUUUAUUACUGUCAUCAAAAAAGGCACAUGAACAGAGAUUGUAAACUGAGAGCCCAGGGACAACUUAAACCUCCUCAAGGUGUUAAUAAGGGCCAAGGUCCAGCUUGGACACCGCCUAAUCAACCCUUCCAGGGGGUAAUGCAGAUUGGGGGACUUUAUGACUGAUGGGAUAAAGGGGGUUCCACGUUGUUAUGUUGCCCAGUGUUUUCCUUAUCCCGCAAUGAUCCCCUAGUUCCUUUGAUGAUUGGAGGAAAACAGUAUGAUUGCUUAUUAGACACAGGAGCCACCCUUUCCAUCCUUACUGAUUUGGAUCUUCCUAAAAGUGGCAAAAUUGAACGUGUUAUGGGAAUUGAAGGAAAUCCUUUUCGUUGUCAGAUUUCCAAACCUUUAAGCAUACACAUAGGGCCCCUGUCUGAGGAACACACUUUCCUACUUACCCAAGGACCAACCAGUUUUAUUGGGACACGAUUUGCUUUGCAAACUCCGGGCUACUAUUCACUGCUCUGACCAAGGCAUUCUUUUGAGCCUGCCAAAUGACUCUGUCAUUCCCUUGAUGGCUCUAAUGAAUCAUGAAACUCCUUUAUAUUUAGCAAUGCUUCCCAGGGAACUGGAAAAUGCUGUCUCACCUUGGGUAUGGGGAAUAAAAAACACUGACGUGGAAUUACUAAAGUCAGCUGAGCCAGUUCGGAUAUGUGUUAGGACAGACAUAGACCCCCCUCGCAUUCCCCAAUACCCUCUCCCACGAGAGGCAAUAGAGGGACUGACUCCUUUAAUUGAGUCAUUUUUAGGGGGUCAUCCCAGAUAUCCUGGGGGCAUCUCCCUCAGGGGUAUGUGGAAUCCCCCGCUAUAUUUUCAGCUGUGUUGCAUAAAGAUUUACAAGAUGUAAUUCUCCCAGGACAGUCUAUGUUGCUUUUGUGUGUGGAUGAUCUUUUAUUAUGCUCAGAAAUACAAGAGACAAAUUAAUGAGCAGGACUCGAUAGAGUUUUUAUGUGCCUUAGCAAUGAAAGGACACAAGGUGUCACCCUCAAAGAUUCAAUAUUGCUCACAGGAGGUGAAAUAUUUAGGGCACAUACUAAAACCAGGAAUGAGAAGCCUUGCUCAGGAAAGAAUAAGUGCCAUUUUAAAUGUACCCCAGCCCAAGACAAAGAGACAGUUAAGGGGGUUCCUCGGCAUGGCAGGAUUCUGUAAGUCCUGGAUUCCUGGGUAUAGGGAAAUGUCAAAACCACUAGUGCAGAUGACCACUAAGGAUGAACCUGACCCAGUGAAAUGGACUAAAGAUGCUACCAAAUCCUUUGAGAGUAUCAAGACAGCCCUUGCAUUGGCACCUGCCUUGGGAUUCCCGGAUUCUAGGAAACCUUUUACCUUAUUUGUUCAUGAAAGGGCGGGAGUGGCCUCUGGUGUUCUUAUGCAAGCUUUAGGAUCACAGCAACAGGCUGUGGCCUAUUUUUUAGCACUACUGAAUCCUGUUGCAAGAGAAGCAGUAGACUGUCUUAAAGCCCUAGUUGCUGCAGCUUUGUUAGUUGAGAAAGCUCAAGAGUUGGUACAGAGACAUCACCUAGUGGAAAAAGUUCCACAUGCUGUUACUCUCCUUCUAAAUUAACGAAAUUUAGAAGGAUCAGUGGAUGGUGUAGACCUUGCCUGGACUGAAACUUAAAUUCACUCGAAAGGGAACCCCAGAUAAGGUCCCCAGCGUGGGAGCGACGCUUGUUGGCCAACUGGCAAGGCCAACCCGAAGUAGAUGACUACAGGGCAGCCAAGGCCCUAAACGACUGAUAUCAGUUUUCGAUGGAUAUAGAAGAUUGGACUGUAUUAUUUGGAUUAGAGUUUAUUGCUCUUUUUUCUUUUAUAUGUUGGUAUUUUAACCUGUUGUGAAAAUGUUUCCUGUGUUGAUUUUGUUGUUUUUCCCUUCCCUUUCUUAUGGCCAUAAUAAUUUCAUUAAAUUUAGCCAUGUGGGGAGGAAUAGAAUCCCAGAAUGUAGGAAUGACUCAUGCUGGGUGUGCACCUUGGUGCCUCCCGAUGCGGAAUGAGGACUUUCUUUCCUUCCUAUCCCUUUGAUGGCUGCAGAUAUUACUCAUUCAUAGGUGUAUGUUACUCCCCAUCAGGCUACGACUCAUACCUGGCAACAAGAAGGUAUAAACCCUAACUCCAGGUAUUUGUUAACCUUCAAGGCGCAGGGUGAGUGGUGUCUCCUGGGAAAUGGGCUAGGCCUGUUUUUAGGGAACAGUACUUGCAAAUACUAUGUGGGCCCAAAUGGUGAUGGAGAGUGGGUCACUCCCCUUGUUUAUUGUUUUGACACCACUGACGACAUUAACCACAAGGGUGCCUGCGCCAAUAGUGUCUGCUAUGAAAGCUGCACUAUGGUAUGGGAAAACUCCAAUGGACAAUGUCUGUAUGCAGGCAAAAAUGUAGAGACGGAGACAUCUCCUCGAAGCACGGGCCUAUUGGGUUUAUGGGAUGUUAUACAUCCCUGUUACAAAAAGCGUUGGGAGUGACAUGGGAUACUCCUCCCGGCCCUGUUCCAGCAGGGUUUGGUUCUUACUGGGUGUGUGGAAAUAAAGCCUAUCAUACCCUUCCAGUACACUUCUCAGGUUCUUGUUAUCUUGCCUGGUUGUUACCCCCACUCGUAUUGUGAAGCAAUUACACAAAGGCAAGAUUAGAAAUGUAAGGGACACUACCAAACCUCAAGCUGAAGAGGAUGCAGCCCUUGAACCAAUGACAUGGACAACAUUCCCUAAUAAUCGUAGACUUAGGAGAAGGGUUAUAAGACUCCAGGGUUUUUAUAAAUUAUGGCUAAUGAAACUGCUACAAUAGUUACAAGUCAAGCCACUGAGCUUAAGCAACUUAGACAGUUAGCUUUACAAAAUCAUAUGGCUUUAGAUAUUUUUUUUUGGCAGCUCAAGGAGGAACUUGUACCCUCAUAGGCCAAGAGUGUUGUGUAUUUGUGAAUGACACCUAUAAAGAUACCUUUGACAGGGCAGCCCACUUAAGAGACAUUGCCCAAGACAGGUCUGCUGAAGGUAGCUGGACAAAUGAUUGGUUUGAUGGUUUAUUUUCCUGGUUCCCUUCCUUAACAGGCUGGUUAAAGGGACUCCUGAAAGGAGGUGUUAUGAUUUUACUGAUGAUUGUGUUUAUUUUUUUGUGUGUGUGUUUAAACUGUCCAUGUGAAUAAUGUCUAAAUGUGCUAGGACAACUAGCAAAUCGAAGGGGAUAUUUCUCUCUUUACAAGAAAGAUGGGUUUUGGCAAAGGCGGAAAUGAUGCCAGAUGCUGAUAUUCUGACCCCUACAUAUUUGCUGUAACACUCCUACUGCUGUGAAAAGUGUGAUCAUGAGCCCAUUAUAUGGGUCAUGAUCAAAGGGGAAAAAUUGAUAUAAAAUUAUUCUACUUAACUGCCAGGGGACAAAUUUGUCACAUACACAUGGGAGAAAGAAGAAGGACAAAAUGCAGGGUCAGCUAUAAGUAGUCAGGAAGUUCCUUCAAGAGGAAAUGUAGCCAAACUCCAAACCUGGAGACAAUGGACCUUUCUGUGCCUGCGUCCUGUAGAUAGCUAACAACUUAGUUUGCAAAAUAAGCAAGGAGGAGGGGGCAAAUAGAUGAACAAUAAGGGGUCAUAAGAGGGGCAGAUACAUGUAGCUUGCUAAUUAUGUAUGGUAAUGAUGGCAAAUUUUGACCAAUCAUAGAGUGAUAGAUUAUCAUAAGCAACUGUAUACAAUGCUUUGGUGUAAGUGUUUUCUUUGUUCUUGCUGACUUAUGAGCUCGAACCCAAUUGCAAUUGAAAUAAACGGAUCGCCCCUCCCGGGGCUCCUUGCUUGA